AGACGCAUUUCCACUAACAUCACAGCACAGAACAGAGAACGACAGACCAGUGCAGACCAAUACUCUCAUACUACUGUAGCCUUGAUCUUACAGAGAAACAUCUAACAGAGUUUUUGUGCCAGUACACUCAUUUGUCAUUAUGUAAAGAAUGGAAAAGCAGGAGAAGAAGAGGGAUGUUCCAGAUGUUGCUGCCAGGUGGAAGUUGUUACAGCACCACUUGGCAGGGGCAUACAUCGGCGUUCAAAAAUGUUCCCGGCCAAGUGCUUGUGGGAUUCCACAGAUCAGAGGGAUUUCGGGAGUCUGCAGGCUCUCUCUGCCUAGAUAUCCUCAGACAAAGCUAGAGGAGUUUACAGGCUGCUGAGAAAUACAGCGAGCUCUUGAUUGUUGGCUCCUUAAAAAGGAGUCAAAGACAAAGAAUCUGCAAGGGGGGACAGAUGAGAGAAACUGUAAUUAAUCCUAAUAGCAGAGACUCUGGUAGAGGCCUCACACAGAAGCGCUCUGUAGUCUAAACAGUGUAAACUCCUGGCUAAAAUGGAUAACAAGACAGUAAAUGUUUUUUUGUUUGUUGCUGUUCUUUUUUUUUUUUUUUUUUUUUUUAGAUUAUGUAAUAUUUAAAUUAAGUUAAUAGCAUGGAUUUCCAGUAAAUUGUUUAAAGUGUUUGUUUUGAUUAAAUGCAACAAAAUUGUCAUUCUAUACAUAGUCUUCAUCUCAGCAAAUACACAAUUCGUAAACCAGAUUAAUGGGACAUGCGUUACUCUGUGCCCUAUACUGCCCCCUUGUGUUAGUCGUAUGAAUGCCUUCUCACAUAAUCCACAACCUCCUUAUCCUUUUUUUUUCUUUCAAAGAAGUAGAAACGUCUAGAA
Long non-coding RNA from Electrophorus electricus (electric eel), 863 nucleotides. RefSeq lists it as uncharacterized. The record is from RefSeq and is a predicted model, not a curated record. NCBI's taxonomy places the organism in Eukaryota, Metazoa, Chordata, Actinopteri, Gymnotiformes, Gymnotidae.